GGCAAGAUGGCCGAGCGGUCUAAGGCGUCAGUAACCCUAACCCUAUUACAUCUCUUACAUGCCUCCUUUACUAACAUCUCCCCAGGCUAGCUUAAGGUUUCAUUCACGGCUCUGUGAUAGUUAUUCGCUAGUCCGAAAGGGCGUGGGUUCGAAUCCCACUCUUGUCA
RNAcentral lists this transfer RNA (167 nucleotides) under Talaromyces pinophilus. Its description in RNAcentral is "tRNA-Und (NNN) (tRNA-Und-NNN-1-1)". It matches the Rfam family "tRNA". Rfam says of the family: Transfer RNA (tRNA) molecules are approximately 80 nucleotides in length. Their secondary structure includes four short double-helical elements and three loops (D, anti-codon, and T loops). The record is from RNAcentral. Lineage: Eukaryota; Fungi; Ascomycota; Eurotiomycetes; Eurotiales; Trichocomaceae.